This 443-nucleotide ribosomal RNA is filed under the name uncultured Leptotrichia sp. RNAcentral's name for it is "bacterial SSU rRNA". It matches the Rfam family "Bacterial small subunit ribosomal RNA", at positions 338 to 795 of the family's 1533-position model. Lineage: Bacteria; Fusobacteriati; Fusobacteriota; Fusobacteriia; Fusobacteriales; Leptotrichiaceae. The record is from RNAcentral.
CCUACGGGAGGCUGCAGUGGGGAAUAUUGGACAAUGGGGGCAACCCUGAUCCAGCAAUUCUGUGUGCGCGAAGACGGUUUUCGGAUUGUAAAGUGCUUUCAGCAGGGAAGAAGUAAGUGACGGUACCUGCAGAAGAAGCGACGGCUAAAUACGUGCCAGCAGCCGCGGUAAUACGUAUGUCGCGAGCGUUAUCCGGAAUUAUUGGGCAUAAAGGGCAUCUAGGCGGCCUAUCAAGUCAGGGGUGAAAACCUGCGGCUCAACCGCAGGCCUGCCUUUGAAACUGUGAGGCUGGAGUACCGGAGAGGUGGACGGAACUGCACGAGUAGAGGUGAAAUUCGUAGAUAUGUGCAGGAAUGCCGAUGAUGAAGAUAGUCCACUGGACGGAGACUGACGCUGAAGUGCGAAAGCCGGGGGAGCGAACAGGAUUAGAUACCCCUGUAGUC